UAAUGUAUAUGUUGUCUUCAUUUCUUUUCUAUUACUCUGGUAUCCUUCACCAGUAUGAACCCAGCAGUGUGGUGUUUGUCGAAGCUGUGGCUGGCUCUGCCAGUUCGUUCCCCAAAGAGCUCCUAUUUCCAUUCCACUGGAGCUUAUAUUCCUUUAAAUGUCUAGCGCAGCAUCAUUUCCCCCUUUCUAAUACAUCACUCUGCUGGAAUUAGAAGAAUCCAAGGUUAUAUCCAACUUCAAAGGUUUCCAAGUCAUCAUGAUUUUAAUAAAAGGAGAAGAUAGAUCAUGGAACAAGUCCCUGGCUUUUGAAGAUAGGCAUCAUAGGGACCUUCCUCCCUCUGUCUCGUUCUCGCUCUCGCACUGUCUCCCCCCAACUUUGUACCUCUCCAGCUCUGAAUGUCCCGCGCUAGCGCGGUUUAAUGAUAUGCAAAUGAAAUAUGCAUAAAACCAUUCUACUGUAUGAUGAUUAAACACUGGAGACAUUAACCGCCGACGCUUCGCUGUUUGACUAUAAUAAUCUUUCCCGAGCAUCCACUUUGAUUGCGGAGUUAUGGAAACCCAUAGCAGUUGGCAGAGAGGGAGUAAGAGAGAGCGAAGGAAGGAGAGGUGCGGGGACACAUCACCCAUCUCUGCAUUUAUCCCAUUCCAGGAGACGUUUCCCCCUCUUUGUACUGCGUUCCUACUGCUGUCUUUUGUAAUCCAUCCAUGCGGUCGCACCAGGGCGAUUAACGGGAAAAAAAACCUCUUUUCUCUUAAUGUUUCAAAGCUCAUUAGCCAAACGAUUAUUCCUCAUUAACAGCGAAAGCUCAUUCAUUAAAAGAAAAAAUAUGCCCAAAAGAUGCCAGCGCUGUUAAUCCUGAGCCCUGUAGCUGGGCUGUAAAUCCCAUGCUAGUAUUUUCCAUGAAGAAGGGAAGUGCGCCAAUCCACAAAAAAAACACCAAGCAAAAAGAAAACAUUUUGUGUGUUUUGUAAAAUCCGCAAGAGAGGCAAUUAAUAUUCCCGUUGUAUGACUUUAUUUUUUUGUCUCUCCCUUUUGUCUCCAGUGCCCUUCCCUGGCUCAGCGCCCGGUGCCAACAGAACACCUUGCAGGAUCCUCAGCAGCGCAGACAACACUCCAAGAUGCCGGCCUCGGCUUGGAACGGAGCGGUGUCAUGGCGGAGACGACGGCCUUUGUCUCGCAGGGUGUGAAAGCAUCCGUUGUGCUGGCUCCACUGCGGCAGAAUGACGUCUAAAGGGGGGAAAAAGUGCUGGAAGUCCGAGUUGUGCGGUGCUGGUGGGGGAGCCCCGUCCCCACGGUGUGCGUCCGAGGAAGGGCUUGCGGCAGAGGAGCCUGGUCUGUAAUCCUGGCACUUGUGCCUCCGGUCGCUGCCUGCCGUUUGCUCCUGGGGGUCUGGAUAAUCUCCCUUGGCUCUACGGCACUGUCUGGCCCGCGCACAGGGCCCCCGUAACAUAUACCCGCUGCCGCGAUCACAGGGAGCUGUGGCGUUGCCACUGAAUGGAUGGCACUGUGCCAACUCCGCUGCCAUCCGCCCUUGCAGCUCUUUUCCUCCCUCCUCCCUCCCGCUCUCCCCUCCUCCUCCUCCUCCCGUCGACUUGAUGUUAAUUAACACACGGGUUAAUUGAUUUUAAAAGCUGAAGAAUUACAGUUAACUUUUCCCACAGGGUACGGACGCCAGCCGCCUGGCACGGCUCUGCCUCGUGCGGGUGCAGGGGGGCAGGGAAGAGCUCGCAGCAAAACCAGCCACUGCAGAGGGAUGGAUGGACGGCCGUCGACUGUUGGAGUGUGGCUGGGGCAGCUGAUGCUCCUGCCUCAUCCUCCGGACAUGUCACCACUGUAUUUUGCUAUAAACAAUCAACAUGACCCCUCCCCUCGCCUCUCCCACCCACCCUCCUUUCAGGACGAGUGCUGUCGAAGUUUCAGCAGGGAAGCUGUCCCCCCCAAAGUCCCAUCAGAGUCCGGCAAUAUCUCGCACCACAGGACUGCCCAGCCCGAGCACCCUCCAUGACGACGUGGGGCAUCGGAGGGCCCCCGGCCCUCAUGGGCUCAUCCCGCCUGCCAGGGCUCAGUUCCCCUUAUCGGCUCCAACGUGUCGCUUGGGAUGAAGCAUCACAACCACGGGAAAGUUAGUUUGUUGUAAUUACAAGAGAAAUAACCCAUGUGGGGGCUUUGUUUUUUCGCUCUCCCUCGCCCCAGUGUGCUGCCGGUGAGGGUGACGGUGUGGCGGGAGGAGGCGCAGCGACGCUGGGAACUUGCUACUUUCACCUUCCCGUGCUUUCAUUUUAUUUCGUUUUUUAAAAGCAUGAAGCAAGUGAAGCGACGAGAGGAAUCCAUUAUGCAAAUCAGGUCACAUUUGCAUAAUGUCUCAUGACUGGAAUAUGCAAAUGAGUUGUAUAAUUUAUGAGUGCCAGUGUCUGUCUAAAAGUGUUUCCCAGAAUUUAUAAAAACUGCAGCGUGGGGAGGCAGCUGCCAGGAGGGUCCACGCUUGCUUUGCAAAGUCUGCCUGAGCCCAGCAGCCCAAACACUCAGGAGUAAGAACUGACGCCCCUUCCCACCCUGUCCUCUUGCUUUAUUUUCUGUUUCUCCCUCUGCAAAGUCCCCACCUGCUCCCCUCAAACUUCUCUGAGGGUGUGAGGCUGGGACACGGGGCUGGACAGCCGGGCAGUCCCGCAGGUGGCUCAGCCAGGGCUCGCUCAGGUCCCUCAGGGCUCUCCACAGCUGCAGAGCCCCUGCGCCAUUCAGGUAAGUGAGCUCAUGGGCACAGUGCAUCGGAGAGCUGCCUCGAGCCGCUGCCUCUACUGACCCGCACGGUGGGAUUCCUGCUGGUUUGCCACGUGCCAGGUCCAGCCCCUGCUUGGAUCCGAGCUCCGUGACCUUGGGGAGAGCUACGAGGUCAGCGCAGGGCUGGCAUUGCCAGCGGAGGGACCCUGAGUGUCGUCCCCAGUGCCGCAGUGCUCGGCGUCAGCACUGGAAAGGUCUCUGGAAUAUCUGGACAUGCAGGACAGUGCAUGCAGCUCCAGGCUGUGACAGUGAGAGUCUUGCUGAGUGCCUCCAGGACAAAGAAGUGAGUUCAUAGACUGUGCUUUUACCUGGGAGUUCUGUUGUGGGAAUAUGAAGAGACCCUCUGCAUCAGGUUUGGUGCCUGCCCCCUCACUGCAGGGUGACCGUCCCCCCAGCACCAAGGAGUCACUCUCCCUGUACUGGUCCUUGCUGGCACAGAGAAGUAGCUGAGUCUGAUCUGGAGACAGUGCAGGACCAGGGCCACUGGGAACAACCAGUGUUUCCUGCUGGAGACCGGUGUUCUCCUGUGGUUCCUCACCGGUGGCAUUGGAAGAAUUCCCUGCAUCUCUGUCCUUGGGACUUCCUGGGGCCUUUGCCUGCAGGACUUACUCUCUGUCUCUUGAUGAGCAUCCAGCAUCCCUGUGGUGCUCAUGGGAGCUGCACAGAUCCAUUGCUCCUGAAAACCAGACCCUGUGCCUGUCACUUCAGAGUGUGCCCAGUGACCUGUGUUUCAUGUGCCAUCACCUGAUAGGCCAGUGGGAGAUGAGGAUGCUGCAGUGAGAAGAGAUGAUUGGUGGGAGGAACAUGUCUGCACCCUUCACAUAGCGAGUCGGGACAUGGGGAUGUUGGGCAGGGAAGCCAAAGGGCAAAAAGCAUUUAAUUUCCCCAGCAUGAAGAUAAUGCCAUGAGUCCCAGCUCUGUGGAGGAAACUGCUUGGCAGGACUGCUCAAGAGCUUCUUCCCCAGAUAUGGAUUCCUUCAGGCUCUUAAUUCCUCUGUGUCUCCCAGCUUUAGCUCAUUCUUCCUCUUUGGCUUGCUAUUUUUCCUUUUGACCACUUUUCUAUGCUCUAAGGUCAAGGGUUUUCCGUAUGGAAAGAAGUUUAGCCCCUCCUAGCCUUUCUUGUGCCAUUUGCCCACCUGGCAUCACAUGCCCCAUACUAAGCCUGGCAGUGCUUGGGCAUGCAGGCACUACCAAUAGUGAGGAUGUUCUCCCUUGAUUCCCACCCAAAAGAAGAGCACAUUUCCCAUUUCCUCAGGAUGAUGCUCGGACUGGACAACCUCCUCUCCCUUCACAUGCUUGCACACAGGACAAGAGAGGGCUGUGUGCCCCAUGCUCCCACUGCCAUGUUCCCAUCCUAGUGCUGCCAUUCUGCAGCUGGAGCCAAGCAUGGCAGAGACAAUGUGCUGGAGCAUUCUGUCUGAGGGGAGUUCGGGGAGGGGAGAGGGAAAAAGGCUGUUAGAUCUAUCGCUGGCAAUUUAGAUUCAGAGACAUUUCAUCUGCAGUUCCCUCAAGUGUUGAAUUGAAUAAAACCAGCAGCAGCGGUGGAAAAGAAGGUGGGGGAAGGGCUUUGAGCACUCUCAGCUAAACAAAAAGAGACAGGCAGCUCAUAAAAAAGGAAUUGCAUCCUUGGGCUGAAAAUCUGGAUUCACAGGGCAGAAGGGGAGGGCGCGUGGCAGAGCCCAUCCGUGGCCAGGGGCCAGGCAGUGCUGCCAAGGGCUUCUGGUGCUCCCACAGCAAGAGCAGAUCACAGGGCUUACUUCUGGGUUUCCUGGUUUUCUGUGGAUUUUUGAAGCUCCCGUUGUAGAAUCAAGCAGGAAGAACAGAGUCCCAGGCUUCGGAUGCAAUUUAAAAAAACCCCAAUACUUCACUUUCCAGUGCUUCAGGAGAAAAGCACAAAAGUGAAACCCUCAAGGGUCAAAAAUUCAGAAGAACAAGUAACUUAGCACUUAUAAUUUUGUAAACAGUUGCUGUUGAGGGCCAAACUCAUCAUUCUCAAACACAGCUGUGGGAUGGCAGAACUGUCCUCACCAUUAGAUGUUUCUGUUCCUCUGCCUUUGAGGGAAUUGCUGCUGGUGGCUGUUCUGGCUAUGCACUGCAGCAUUGGGUUUCUCUGGGUUUGUCCCAUUCCCUGGGUGUCAGGCAGUCUGAUACCCCUCCAUGAGCAGAGGCAGGUGCCCUGGUGCAGUGGAGUCUCUGCCUUCCCUGAGUUGGACAUGUCUGGUUGCUGCAGCUGGAUGCUCAAGAGCAGAGGAUCUAUCAACUGCAGACCAAGCAGAGGGAGAGGCAGGCAGAACUGGAGCAGAAAUGCAGCCGGACGAGCAGCUCAGCCAGGACCUGGGGGCCAGCCACCAGCUGCAGGAGGGAGCUCGGAGCAGCUUGUUCCAGAAGAUGGUGCAAUUUGGUGAUUGAUUCCUGAAGUCUGGCUGGUGCAUCUGCACUGGGGUAUAGAAGGCACAGACCCUGCCGUGAUGCCCAGAACACUCUGCCAGUGCCAGCCACCCACAGCUCACAGCUCCAGAAGCAGAAGCAGAGCAUUCCAUCAAUAGAGAGGCAGACAAAGCUGCAUAUGGAAAUCACAGCGCACUUCCACCAUGGAUCUCUUCAGUGGCAGAACUGUGAUCUGCUCUGCAUUAUUUUUCUGAUAAUUGUUAACAGGCAGUUUGCCUUUUAGGCUGCUCCUGGGCACUAAGCAAAUAUUUCCACACCUCUAUCUCUCCAUCCCCAUCUGGUUGUAUCUAGCACAGCUCCAGGCCCUCGCUCCUGAGGAGGAACAGAGCUACAGCAGCUGGGACUGCAAUGAGAUCUUGUGAGCAAGAUGGCACAAACAUCCCAGAUCCUGAGUAAGAUUAGGCCUACCUGGCUGUGUCAUACCUUCGAGACUGGUAUAGUCUGAUAAACAUUGAAAAAAGAAGAAAUAAUGAUACAUGGUCAGCCUCACCACAUUGCAGACCUGGACUCUUCCAGGCAGGUCUACCCUCAAGUAUCUGCCCACCUGAGGGGCUGAGUAGCCCUGUGGGGAGAGCUCGGGAGCCAGCUUUUCACCAGAGCCAGGCAGAAUAGCCAGGAAGGGCCCACAUUUGCCCUGCACUUGGACAUGGAGCCUCCUUAGGCAAAAUGCCUGUGCCUGUGGAGUCUUUUCCCUCCAAGACCUCACCUUCACCAUCACAUGGAGCACUAAGGUCAUUGUGGUACAGGCACAGGAGCACCAGUGGCCCAGGGACACAGGGACAACCCAAGUGGCCCAGGGACAGGCAGCCCACAUGGGGCAGGGGUGAAGAGCAGCUAGCCCCAUCACCCAGGCGUUAUGGGACCUCUCACCGCCCAUCACAGGCAUGGCUCCGCAGGGAACACUGCUGGAGCCAGAUGGAUCAGCACUGGCAUGAAGUCCUACCCAAGAGCACAAAUAACAUCAUGUUCUUGUGGUCCUCCUUUGCACUUCCUUCCUGCAGAUUCCCAGGAUGAGUAGGAAUGGAUUGGGCAGCCUGAUCUCCUGCAUCUGCAGCCAAGGAAAUUUCACCGUGUUACUGUGGAAUUCAGAACUUGUCUGACUAAGGCAGUUUUAGAUGGGCAUUCAGCUGGGCUUGAAGACAUCAAGAGACAGCAAAAGCAUUACGUCCUCCCCUGGCAGUCAGUCCCUUCGCAUCACUCCUACUGAUUUUUUUUCUCUGAUUAUUGCUGUGCCAACAGGGCUAAUGAAGCUUUCUGUGCUGCAGCA
Pseudopipra pipra is the source of this 6494-nucleotide long non-coding RNA. RefSeq lists it as uncharacterized. The record is from RefSeq and is a predicted model, not a curated record. NCBI's taxonomy places the organism in Eukaryota, Metazoa, Chordata, Aves, Passeriformes, Pipridae. The transcript is spliced from 11 exons.